GCCGGUGUGGCGCAGUCCGGUAGCGCAGGCGACUUGUAAUCGUCAGGCCGUCGGUUCGAAUCCGACCACCGGCUCCA
This 77-nucleotide transfer RNA is filed under the name Acidimicrobiales bacterium. Its description in RNAcentral is "tRNA-Thr". It matches the Rfam family "tRNA". Rfam says of the family: Transfer RNA (tRNA) molecules are approximately 80 nucleotides in length. Lineage: Bacteria; Bacillati; Actinomycetota; Acidimicrobiia; Acidimicrobiales. The record is from RNAcentral. RNAcentral also lists the same sequence under 2 other names.